UACGUAGGUGGCAAGCGUUGUCCGGAUUUACUGGGCGUAAAGAGCGCGCAGGCGGUCGUUCAAGUCGCGUGUGAAAGCCCCCGGCUCAACUGGGGAGGGUCACGCGAUACUGAUCGACUCGAAGGCAGGAGAGGGAAGUGGAAUUCCCGGUGUAGUGGUGAAAUGCGUAGAUAUCGGAAGGAACACCGGUGGCGAAAGCGGCGCGCUGGACCUCUUCUGACGCUGAGGCGCGAAAGCCAGGGGAGCGAACGGG
Molecule: ribosomal RNA, 253 nt
Filed under: uncultured bacterium
Lineage: Bacteria
Description: partial 16S ribosomal RNA
Rfam family: Bacterial small subunit ribosomal RNA
Source: RNAcentral